Molecule: ribosomal RNA, 835 nt
Filed under: uncultured marine bacterium
Lineage: Bacteria
Description: bacterial SSU rRNA
Rfam family: Bacterial small subunit ribosomal RNA
Source: RNAcentral
CUGGCGGCAGGCCUAACACAUGCAAGUCGAGCGCUCACUUCGGUGGGAGCGGCGGACGGGUUAGUAACGCGUGGGAAUAUGCCCGGUACUAAGGAAUAGCCUUUGGAAACGAAGAGUAAUACCUUAUACGCCCUUCGGGGGAAAGAUUUAUCGGUAUCGGAUUAGCCCGCGUAAGAUUAGAUAGUUGGUGGGGUAAUGGCCUACCAAGUCUACGAUCUUUAGCUGGUUUUAGAGGAUGAUCAGCAACACUGGGACUGAGACACGGCCCAGACUCCUACGGGAGGCAGCAGUGGGGAAUCUUAGACAAUGGGCGCAAGCCUGAUCUAGCCAUGCCGCGUGAGUGAAGAAGGCCUUAGGGUCGUAAAACUCUUUCGCCAGAGAUGAUAAUGACAGUAUCUGGUAAAGAAACCCCGGCUAACUCCGUGCCAGCAGCCGCGGUAAUACGGAGGGGGUUAGCGUUGUUCGGAAUUACUGGGCGUAAAGCGCACGUAGGCGGACUGGAAAGUUGGGGGUGAAAUCCCGGGGCUCAACCUCGGAACUGCCUCCAAAACUAUCAGUCUAGAGUUCGAGAGAGGUGAGUGGAAUUCCAAGUGUAGAGGUGAAAUUCGUAGAUAUUUGGAGGAACACCAGUGGCGAAGGCGGCUCACUGGCUCGAUACUGACGCUGAGGUGCGAAAGUGUGGGGAGCAAACAGGAUUAGAUACCCUGGUAGUCCACACCGUAAACGAUGAAUGCCAGUCGUCGGCAAGUAUACUUGUCGGUGACACACCUAACGGAUUAAGCAUUCCGCCUGGGGAGUACGGUCGCAAGAUUAAAACUCAAAGGAAUUGACGGGG